GAAAGGAAUGGUUCAAGGAGGCAACAGGGGGCGGCGGGGGGCUUGGGCCCUCAUCGCCCUGGCAAUGCCUCAGGCCCAGCCCUCAUCCCCAGUUCCGUCAGCGCUCUCUCAUGCCUUCAGAGAAACCAGGGCUGGGAUGGGCCACACAGCAAACCACCCCUCCCCCACUUCCCAUGCAGCUACUUGGCCCCCAGACCUUGUCCUCCCAUCAUUCUCCUCAUACUCCUUUUCGGUGACCCCCUCAUGUAGAAAGGGUUUGGCUGCAAUGCGAAGGAUCGCUCUGCAGGAUCUUUGGGGCCCCAUCUCCAGGCGAUUCCUGUGUGGCAGGUGUCUGAGGGGGCUCAGGAGCCUGGAGGUUUGGGAUCAUGAAGAGCCUCGGAUAAUGGGGUUCAGUCCUGCCACCAUGUUCACGGCUGGAAGGAAGUCCUGUAAUUGAAAAGUGAGCCUUACCUCUGAUCUCCUAGGAAGACCUGGGGACUGGAUUUCUUUGUGGGACAGUCCCCCCCUCCCCCGUGGUUUCACAAUUCCUAUGUCAUCCUCAGUGAGCACUUUUGGCCUCUCUUUUGGGAGGACCAGGGCGGCGAGAGCUCUCAGCCUCUGCUGUCCCAGCCUGGGAAUGCCUGGGUGGGUGAGGACUCUCCUCUGCCAUUGAACUCAACCUCGGCUGUCAUCUGCCUGGCUGUCAGCACUGACCUGGGCAUCCUGCCUCUUGGUCCAGCCAGGUCCCUCACAGAGAGGGUCCACACAGAUACCAGUCAUGCACCCUCCUGGGGGCAGAGCCUUUGGAAGUCACCAUUGUAAGUUCCACCCUGUUCUCCAAAAUUUUGUAGAAGGGUUUGUCCUAAGUUUCUACAGUGGCUCCCUUGCCCCUUCCAGCCCCAGCUUCUCAAUUGCUGAAGUCUUGGCAAAUAUUUGGGAACCAUACACACACACACCAAAGAAACGGCUUUCAAUGGCAGUCCUGGGACCUCCCCUGGGUCUAGAACCCCUGGCUGAGGGACCUGUGGUACUGGGCCAAAGUCCUGGGCUUAAGCCAAGAGGACUGGAUUGACUACCACUUCCUGCCUUGGGCAAGUUCUUUCAUUUUCCCCCUGAGCCUCUGUUUCUCCAUAUGUAAAAUGGGGCGAAUGCCAACUUAGUUUAUGUGAGGCCCCCAAGCAGCAGAGGCCAGGAAAUGUCCUCCCUUCCCUCCUCUCCCACCAUGGGGAUCCUAGGUGCUGUUUAGGUGGGCUCCAAGGGAGAGCUGUUCCUGAUCUGUCACCAUCCUUCCUGGCUGAUUCUCUGGCUUCCUGUCAAUAAAAAUAGCAACUGCUUGUGGGGAGUCUGGGAU
Molecule: long non-coding RNA, 1330 nt
Filed under: Sus scrofa (pig)
Lineage: Eukaryota; Metazoa; Chordata; Mammalia; Artiodactyla; Suidae
Description: lncRNA (ENSSSCG00055010246.1)
Source: RNAcentral